This 63-nucleotide transfer RNA is filed under the name Anoplophora chinensis. RNAcentral describes it as "tRNA-His". The record is from RNAcentral. Lineage: Eukaryota; Metazoa; Arthropoda; Insecta; Coleoptera; Cerambycidae.
AUUCAAAUAGUUUAAUAAAAAUAUUAACUUGUGGCGUUAAAGAUAUAAAAUAUAUUUUGAAUA